GGUGUUCGUAGGUGCCCUGAACUCGCCUGAUCUCAUCUGAUCUUGGAAGCUAAGCAGGGGCGGGCCUGGUUAGUACUUGGAUGGGAAGCCCAUUAUUUUUAGCCAAUGUGGUAUAGAACACUUGUAAACCAACACUU
This is a ribosomal RNA of Cricetulus griseus (Chinese hamster), 137 nucleotides long. The record is from Ensembl. Lineage: Eukaryota; Metazoa; Chordata; Mammalia; Rodentia; Cricetidae.